CCACUGCACCCGGCCCAUGAAUGAUUUCUUUAGUGCCAGCCAUAUGGUGGGAAUGGAGCUUGGGUUCCAAUUUGCCUAAGACACACCCUGUCCUAGCAGAGCUCCAGUCUCACGGAGAGGCCGGGUGCAAAGGCAGCACACAAGCUCAAUGGGUGCAGAAGGAAUGAGGCCCCGUGUCAGGGAAUCUGCUUCGCAGACCCCGAUGAGGACAUACAGGACCAGGCUUGCAGAUGUCGAUGGAAAGGAGGAUGGAGAAUCUCUGGAGAGAGGUCUGGGUUGGAGACACAGAAUUGGAGUUGGCAGUGCAGAUCAUCCUAAAGGCUUCCCGGAAUCUGCCAGGAGGAGGCAGUUGGCAGUGAGGCCUUCGAAAGGGGUAGGACGUCUUCAAAUCUUAUUUCUCUGCCUUUUUGUAUUUUAUCUCCACUUUGUCUUAGCUUUCAGCCUAAGGACCUAGAAUGACAAGAUAAAUUUGUGGAGAUUCCUGUGAGAUAUAAGUAAACCCUACUGAACAGGGCAGGAGAAGCAGCUAGUUAUAUUGUAUCCCGAAUGCCAG
RNAcentral lists this long non-coding RNA (553 nucleotides) under Pan troglodytes (chimpanzee). RNAcentral's name for it is "long non-coding RNA NONPTRT002073". The record is from RNAcentral. Lineage: Eukaryota; Metazoa; Chordata; Mammalia; Primates; Hominidae.